AAGUCGUAGGUUUCCGUAGGUGAGCCUGCGGAAGGAUCAUUCACACGUAUCCAACGUUAAACCCCCCUAAUUUUAUCGCUGCUCUUGCAGACGCCGGCAAGUUUGCAAUCCCUGGUAAAUCAUUGUUAAACAGAUUUUCAGGGACCUCUAACCCGGUAGAUCUAUAGCUGCAAUUUGAGCGCUGGCCUGGUUUCCCCAAGCAGCUAGUGUCUGAAAGUGUCGCUAGUUGUGUAAGGAAAACGCUUUACGAUCGCUGGAGGCCAAACACCGGCCGGUGCUGCUGUGGCUUUAUGCCCCACUACCUUUCCUCGGGUCGCAGGAAACUGCUUCCCAUCAACCGAACAACUGUUAACAAUGGAUAUCUUGGUUCUC
This 372-nucleotide unclassified non-coding RNA is filed under the name fungal sp. RNAcentral describes it as "partial internal transcribed spacer region". Lineage: Eukaryota; Fungi. The record is from RNAcentral.